This 463-nucleotide ribosomal RNA is filed under the name uncultured bacterium. RNAcentral describes it as "partial 16S ribosomal RNA". It matches the Rfam family "Bacterial small subunit ribosomal RNA", at positions 28 to 507 of the family's 1533-position model. The record is from RNAcentral.
GAUGAACGCUGACAGAAUGCUUAACACAUGCAAGUCGAUGGGGAAGUGGUGCUUGCACCAUGGCAACCAUGGCGGACGGGUGAGUAACGCGUAAGGGACUUACCUGCAGGACUGGGAUAACAGGGGGAAACUCCUGACAAGACCGGAUAAUGUCAUGGAGCUGCAUGGCUUUAUGAUGAAAGGAGACGCCUGCGGAGAGCCUUGCGUCCUAUUAGCUAGUUGGUGAGGUAAUGGCUCACCAAGGCGAAGAUAGGUAGCCGGCCUGAGAGGGUGGACGGCCACAAGGGGACUGAGAUACGGCCCUUACUCCUACGGGAGGCAGCAGUGGGGAAUGUUGGACAAUGGGGGCAACCCUGAUCCAGCAAUUCUGUGUGCACGAAGAAGGUUUUCGGAUUGUAAAGUGCUUUCAGCAGGGAAGAAGUAAGUGACGGUACCUGCAGAAGAAGCGACGGCUAAAUACGUG